AUGCCUUCUCUCUGCUGGAUGGAAGCUAGUUCCAAUUUUUCUUUUUUUAAUUCUGCCUUCAAUGAAGUUGCAGCAACCUUCAAGCAAUUUACAUCAUCUGUUGCUUUCUCGAUGUUGAGUUUCACUUCUUCAAGUUCCCGUGUAGCCAAGGCAACCGCUGCUUGUAUGUUGGCAUGAGUUCUUUUCUCUGGUUCUGACAGUUCGUUGAAAUUGCCUCCUUCAACCGUCUCUUGUUUCAACUUUGAUUCCAUGUAAGAAGCAAACUCAGCUUUGAGAUCCAGUAACAAAGCUGAAGCAGUGUCUAAUUUUGCUUUGAGAUCCUUUGAAGACCGUAUUUGCUGGUUUAGCUUCUCAAGCUCAUCUUCUGCCUGCUUUAGUUCUUUCUCCCAAUUUAGAGUAUCUUGCUCUCUUGCCAUGGCAGCUCCAAUUCUGUGUUCCUCCGCCUCCAAAUGUGCAGUUUGUGCAGCUUCUAAAGAUUCCUUUGUAGUGAUGAGCUCAAUAGUCAAAUACUCAACUUCUUUCUCAACUUUCUUUGAGGCAGAAACCGCUUCCUCUGCAUUUUGCAUGGCAUCAUAUCUUUCUGACACCAAUAAAUCAUACUGUUUAUGCAGAUUUUUCAGCUCAUAAUCCACAUUUUUUAGCUCUGAAACUGCUGUUUCAUGCCUUGCUUUAGCAACUUCAAGCUGCGCCUUGGCUGCAAUACUAGCCUCAUCAGCAAUUCCCUGCUCCAUCUCUUCUACCCUGAGCUUGGCAAGUUCUGAGUCCUGUUUCGCUUGUUGCUCUUCAGUUUGUGCUCUCUCCAGGUUUAGCUUCAACUCUUCAAUCAGUCUUUUAGUGCUAUCUAGUUCCUUCACCACCAUCAUUUUUGCUUCUUCUGCAGCCUGUGACUGUUUCUUGUACACUGGGAUCUCUUCCUGCACAUUCGCUAAUUCUUGAUCGACAACUUUCCUUCUCUCCACGGUCUGUACUCGAUGAGCCUUCCAGUCAACAAUGCCUCCAAACUUGGACACUGCCUGCUUCACAG
This 1024-nucleotide unclassified non-coding RNA is filed under the name Hevea brasiliensis (rubber tree). Lineage: Eukaryota; Viridiplantae; Streptophyta; Magnoliopsida; Malpighiales; Euphorbiaceae. The record is from RNAcentral.